Molecule: ribosomal RNA, 906 nt
Filed under: Micrococcus sp.
Lineage: Bacteria; Bacillati; Actinomycetota; Actinomycetes; Micrococcales; Micrococcaceae
Description: bacterial SSU rRNA
Rfam family: Bacterial small subunit ribosomal RNA
Source: RNAcentral
GCCCCCCGCGGCCAGCAAUAAUACAUGCAGUCGAGCGAACGGACGAGAGUGCUUGCAUUCUCUGAUGUUAGCGGCGGACGGGUGAGUAACACGUGGGUAACCUACCUAUAAGACUGGGAUAACUUCGGGAAACCGGAGCUAAUACCGGAUAAUAUUUAGCUUCGCAUGAAGCAAUAGUGAAAGACGGUUCUGCUGUCACUUAUAGAUGGACCCGCGGUGUAUUAGCUAGUUGGUGAGGUAACGGCUCACCAAGGCAACGAUACAUAGCCGACCUGAGAGGGUGAUCGGCCACACUGGGACUGAGACACGGCCCAGACUCCUACGGGAGGCAGCAGUAGGGAAUCUUCCGCAAUGGACGAAAGUCUGACGGAGCAACGCCGCGUGAGUGAAGAAGGUUUUCGGAUCGUAAAACUCUGUUGUAAGGGAAGAACAAGUACGUUAGUAACUGAACGUACCUUGACGGUACCUUACCAGAAAGCCACGGCUAACUACGUGCCAGCAGCCGCGGUAAUACGUAGGUGGCAAGCGUUAUCCGGAAUUAUUGGGCGUAAAGCGCGCGUAGGCGGUCUCUUAAGUCUGAUGUGAAAGCCCCCGGCUCAACCGGGGAGGGUCAUUGGAAACUGGGAGACUUGAGUGCAGAAGAGGAGAGUGGAAUUCCAUGUGUAGCGGUGAAAUGCGCAGAGAUAUGGAGGAACACCAGUGGCGAAGGCGGCUCUCUGGUCUGUAACUGACGCUGAGGUGCGAAAGCGUGGGGAUCAAACAGGAUUAGAUACCCUGGUAGUCCACGCCGUAAACGAUGAGUGCUAAGUGUUGAGGGGUUUCCGCCCCUCAGUGCUGCAGCUAACGCAUUAGCACUCCGCCUGGGAGUACGGUCGCAAGACUGAAACUCAGAAAAUUUUGGACGGA